Molecule: transfer RNA, 76 nt
Filed under: Lentisphaeria bacterium
Lineage: Bacteria; Pseudomonadati; Lentisphaerota; Lentisphaeria
Description: tRNA-Asn
Rfam family: tRNA
About the family: Transfer RNA (tRNA) molecules are approximately 80 nucleotides in length. Their secondary structure includes four short double-helical elements and three loops (D, anti-codon, and T loops). Further hydrogen bonds mediate the characteristic L-shaped molecular structure. tRNAs have two regions of fundamental functional importance: the anti-codon, which is responsible for specific mRNA codon recognition, and the 3' end, to which the tRNAs corresponding amino acid is attached (by aminoacyl-tRNA synthetases). tRNAs cope with the degeneracy of the genetic code in two manners: having more than one tRNA (with a specific anti-codon) for a particular amino acid; and 'wobble' base-pairing, i.e. permitting non-standard base-pairing at the 3rd anti-codon position.
Source: RNAcentral
UCCGGCAUAGCUCAGUCGGUAGAGUAGGUGGCUGUUAACCACCCCGUCGCAGGUUCGAGUCCUGCUGCCGGAGCCA